This 576-nucleotide ribosomal RNA is filed under the name uncultured eukaryote. RNAcentral's name for it is "bacterial SSU rRNA". It matches the Rfam family "Eukaryotic small subunit ribosomal RNA", at positions 203 to 782 of the family's 1831-position model. The record is from RNAcentral.
GCUUUUAUUAGACCGAACCAAUGUGCUUCGGCACUUUUUUGGUGACUCUGGAUAAUUCCGCUGAUCGCAUGGUCUCGCACCGGCGACGCAUCAUUCAAAUUUCUGCCUUAUCAACUGUCGAUGGUAAGAUAUGGGCUUACCAUGGUUGCAACGGGUAACGGGGAAUUAGGGUUCGAUUCCGGAGAGGGAGCCUGAGAAACGGCUACCACAUCCAAGGAAGGCAGCAGGCGCGCAAAUUACCCACUCCCGGCACGGGGAGGUAGUGACGAAAAAUAACAAUACGGGACUCUAUCGAGGCUCCGUAAUUGGAAUGAGUACACUUUAAAUCCUUUAACGAGUAUCUAUUGGAGGGCAAGUCUGGUGCCAGCAGCCGCGGUAAUUCCAGCUCCAAUAGCGUAUAUUAAAGUUGUUGCGGUUAAGACGUUCGUAGUUGGAUCUUGGGUGACGACUGGGCGGUCCUACGCAAGUGGUGCACUUCCCGGUGGUACCUUGUCUCCAUAUUGGUGCCCGCGUCCUUCGCUGGGCGUUGGCUUCGAUGUGGACGUUUACUUUGAAGAAAUUAGAGUGUUCAAAGCA